CAUGACAGGACCUGGGACCAGCUUGACCUCCAGGAUGAGUCUGUAUAGAUCUACAUUGAGGUCUAAUUGUUGAUUCAGAGCCCGGGCAGUUUCCACAAUCCGUCUUUGCAUAUUUAUUACAUGCGACUGACUGUUCUUUGUCUACACAUUUCCAGAAAUCUGAGAAGUGCAAGAUCCAUGACACCACAAGCAGGUGCUCAGCAUAUCUCUAGUAUAGCUAUUCCGACAAACAAAGCCGGAACGUCUCUCGCCCGCACGCUGCUUUGUUUCACUUGUACGAAUUUCUGAUGGGAAGCCUGUCAGAGGGACAAUUCAAAGAAACAGCAUUAUGAGCCCCG
Long non-coding RNA from Harpia harpyja (harpy eagle), 338 nucleotides. RefSeq lists it as uncharacterized. The transcript has 3 exons. NCBI's taxonomy places the organism in Eukaryota, Metazoa, Chordata, Aves, Accipitriformes, Accipitridae. The record is from RefSeq and is a predicted model, not a curated record.